ACUUAAAUAGCUUAAAUUUAAGAGUAUGAUAUUGAAGAUAUCAAGGUGAUAUAUAGUAUAUUUUUAAGUA
This 70-nucleotide transfer RNA is filed under the name Bubas bison. RNAcentral describes it as "tRNA-Phe". Lineage: Eukaryota; Metazoa; Arthropoda; Insecta; Coleoptera; Scarabaeidae. The record is from RNAcentral.